UUCCGUAGGGUGAACCUGCGGAGGGAUCA
RNAcentral lists this ribosomal RNA (29 nucleotides) under Trichoderma asperellum. Its description in RNAcentral is "partial 18S ribosomal RNA". The record is from RNAcentral. Lineage: Eukaryota; Fungi; Ascomycota; Sordariomycetes; Hypocreales; Hypocreaceae.